GAUGAACGCUGGCGGCGUGCCUAAUACAUGCAAGUCGAGCGAACGGACGAGAAGCUUGCUUCUCUGAUGUUAGCGGCGGACGGGUGAGUAACACGUGGAUAACCUACCUAUAAGACUGGGAUAACUUCGGGAAACCGGAGCUAAUACCGGAUAAUAUUUUGAACCGCAUGGUUCAAAAGUGAAAGACGGUCUUGCUGUCACUUAUAGAUGGAUCCGCGCUGCAUUAGCUAGUUGGUAAGGUAACGGCUUACCAAGGCAACGAUGCAUAGCCGACCUGAGAGGGUGAUCGGCCACACUGGAACUGAGACACGGUCCAGACUCCUACGGGAGGCAGCAGUAAGGAAUCUUCCGCAAUGGGCGAAAGCCUGACGGAGCAACGCCGCGUGAGUGAUGAAGGUCUUCGGAUCGUAAACCUCUGUUAUUAGGGAAGAACAUAUGUGUAAGUAACUGUGCACAUCUUGACGGUACCUAAUCAGAAAGCCACGGCUAACUACGUG
This 497-nucleotide ribosomal RNA is filed under the name uncultured bacterium. Its description in RNAcentral is "partial 16S ribosomal RNA". It matches the Rfam family "Bacterial small subunit ribosomal RNA", at positions 28 to 507 of the family's 1533-position model. The record is from RNAcentral.